Molecule: ribosomal RNA, 434 nt
Filed under: uncultured bacterium
Lineage: Bacteria
Description: bacterial SSU rRNA
Rfam family: Bacterial small subunit ribosomal RNA
Source: RNAcentral
AACGAACGCUGGCGGCAGGCCUAACACAUGCAAGUCGAGCGAGACCUUCGGGUCUAGCGGCGGACGGGUGAGUAACGCGUGGGAAUAUGCCCUUCGGUUCGGAAUAGCCCCGGGAAACUGGGAGUAAUACCGGAUACGGUCUACGGACGAAAGAUUUAUCGCCGAAGGAUUAGCCCGCGUUGGAUUAGGUAGUUGGUGGGGUAAUGGCCUACCAAGCCGACGAUCCAUAGCUGGUUUGAGAGGAUGAUCAGCCACACUGGGACUGAGACACGGCCCAGACUCCUACGGGAGGCAGCAGUGGGGAAUCUUAGACAAUGGGGGAAACCCUGAUCUAGCCAUGCCGCGUGAGCGAUGAAGGCCUUAGGGUUGUAAAGCUCUUUCAGCGGGGGAAGAUAAUGACUGUACCCGCAGAAGAAGCCCCGGCUAACUCCGUG